AAGUCAUAAUUAGCUGGAAGAAUCUUAGAAAUUACAGAUGGAAAGACUUAUUAAAUCAACUUGUGCAUUCCUUGCCCUGACAACAUGCAUUGUUCCCUGAAGUACAUUUUAUAAGAGACUUUUCCCCCUUGAAGAUGGAAGAGAACUGACUGAGGCUACUGAAGCAAAAUGCCACUCAUCUCCUGUGACCCUAAGCCUUUGUCAUCCUAAUGCUGAGAUGAGUUUCUAACCAGAACAUGCCAAGGAGAGGGACUCAGAUAACUCUGCCACUCCACUGGCUACAGCUGAAUCCCAAACACCAUCUCAGAUGAAAUGGUAUCAGACUUUAAUAGCAGCAGCAACUCCUCCAGCUCAUCUCAACUUUUCUUUCCCCCAGAGAGAUGUUACCAACUAAGAUGGUCAAAGCUAAAGGAAACAAGAACUGUUAAAAUUAAAGCCUUUCAAAUAAUAUUCUUGGCCUUUUAUGGUCCAUCAACUCUCCCAGAGGUCACAUCACUGACUUAAUCCUAUCAAAAUUUAUCUUCUCCUCUACUCAUUUUUACUGAUCCAAACUUCAGCUAUCAUUCCAAUUGUCAUAAACAAACAGAUCCGGGUGAAGGUCUCUUUUACCUGGAAAGGGUUAACAAGCUCAGUAACCUGAAAAACACCUGA
Mauremys mutica (yellowpond turtle) is the source of this 651-nucleotide long non-coding RNA. RefSeq lists it as uncharacterized. Lineage: Eukaryota; Metazoa; Chordata; Testudines; Geoemydidae. The record is from RefSeq and is a predicted model, not a curated record. The transcript is spliced from 3 exons.